This 347-nucleotide long non-coding RNA is filed under the name Ricinus communis (castor bean). Its description in RNAcentral is "long non-coding RNA (RCOM_LNC000276)". The record is from RNAcentral. Lineage: Eukaryota; Viridiplantae; Streptophyta; Magnoliopsida; Malpighiales; Euphorbiaceae.
CCAUCCGUCAAGCUUGUAAAGCGCGGCGGAGAGGGAAGGUGACCAAUUGGUGGUGGUGGUGGUUGGAGGCGGUGCUGGAGGUACGCCGGAAAAGGCGACCGGCGACGGAAAGAAGGAGGUGUUAUCCCCCGGGUUGGAAGCGUAGCCAGGAGGCGCAAGGGCAGAAUCUACGCAACAAGCCAGGGAAGACAUCCUUCUAUUCCGUGCGCUGCGAUCUGAAAAAGUUAGGUUAAGGUAAGGUUUUCUAUUUUCUUAAUUUAAGUGUCGGUUAGAAAUGAAUGGUUUUGUUCUCUUGAGUUUGUAAAGAUGGGGGCUUUAAAACCCGCCGAGGCCGAGGCCCCGGCUAC